UGCUUAGAGGGGGUGUCGACGAUCCUCCUUGUAAGAGGGUCAGGCCUAGGUUGGUUCCAAUCAGGUAUCUCAGCUUGUCGUUCGACCUUUAAGGAGUUGUAGGACAAGAGGGUCCUGAGUGGAGUCAUGUACCACUGGAGCUUUCUUUCGUAAAUCUCCAUCUCAUCUUGGAAGUAGAAAGGUUUGAUCAAGAUCAUGUGGUUUUUCCCUGGACUCGCCGUACUGACUUCCAAGGUAUGUCUGUCGGAACAUUUCUGAGUCCCUUUCAAAUCGAUUGUGAAUUGAAACUUACUUUCAAUUCUCCCUUUAGUGAUUAUACAUGUUUAGGGCUUCCACAAACCAUGAGUGACACCUAGCAGUAUGUCAUGGUUACCCAAGCUAAUCAGAAGAGGUGGAAAACUGAUUCAAUUUAGGAUUACAAUGCAAUACGGUCUUUCUCUAAUACAAUACUCUUGACCACAUUGUUUGGUUUAAUAGUUUAUUCAUGUCUAUUGUCUAAUGUGAGUCUCUUACUUAUAUGAUUACCUUGAAUGUGAUUUGGAACGAUUUCCUAAAUCUCAUUCAUACUCUGGCCAGAGAUUCUUAAUCAUAUCAUAGAGGAUUCUCCCUCAAACGGUUUAAAGGUUAGAGAUCUCUUGUUGCACAUUCACUUGCCUCCAUGGCUAAGUGGCUUAACCCCAACUAUGCCACGGACACCCUCUGACGAAGUGACUUUGACAUAGUCAAAGAUCAAAGACCUAACCACAAGACAACUAUGAUGCCUCAGGUCAAAUGACUACUUUGCAUUAUCCCAACCUUGAGUUCUCAUGUGACAUGAGUAUGAGAACUCCUUGUUGAUCGUGUUCAGUGGACUCAUUCUCUAUUGAGCACCUAUAUGCUUGUCUUGGUGUCAGUCACACCAAUGACUCGAGACCAGUCACUCUCCCUAAGAGAAGACAUAGCACGUACUGAUCUUAACGGACUGUUAAUGCCCAAUUGGCAAUCCUAUGAUCAGGAACGUUUAGGAUAUGUAUAGGAAAUAGAAUGGUCUCAUGAAUCUAACUUCUUUAGAUCGCAUUCUCCCAAUUACAUAUUCCUUGGACUUAUUGUUUAAGUGUAUAACAUUUAUAUGAGAUGACUUCAAACAAUAAUUUUUGCCCUUUAUAUUAAACUAUAUUAGUUUAACAUGUGAAAUGUCCGUAAAGUAACCUCUUCUGUAGUCAUUUAAAAAAUGGCUGAGGAGUAGGCCUAGACAAUGGAUAUCUAUAUGUUAACCAUAGAAGCAACCUUGAGAAUAACGACGUCACCAUUAUACAUGAUUCUUAAUCAUGUGGUUUAGUCUCUCAUUUGAGUUCGGAUCUUGAUGAGACCUUGAUUUCCUGGCUUGAGCUAUUGCCCCAUUAGUGUCAUAGUGUCGGUACACUGGAGACACUUUCUAGUUGGAACCGAAUAGAGAGUUCAUAAAUGAACUUUCCCAUCCAAACAACAUUAUUGUAAGCUAAUGCAUUUUGCAUUCACAAUGGAACACACUAAAGUCAUUACUUUUAAUGUUUCCAUCCAAAUAUCUCUUUAGUCAUAAUAAAAAGAUAUCUGAUUAUCUCUUCAUUCAUAAUGAAGAAACAUCUAAUGAUGGAUUAGAUUCAUAAUCUAAUACAUUUACGCUUCCAUUACAUUACUCUAAUUCUUCCUCAUUCUUUGAGGAAUAUAUCCGUUAGUAUUUCUUAAAUACUUAAGGACUCACUUGACAGUUGCCUUGGUUCUGAUCCUGGGCUUGCACUGAUAUCGUCUUGUAUCGUUCUAGGUACAACUCAUAUCAAUGUUUUUCAUACAAUAUGAAAUACGUAAAUCACCUUUCUAUGUAUGCAUAAAGGAUUCUAUUAAUGCAUUAUGUUUCUUUAGAGUUUUCCUUCUGAUUGAAGUUUAUCAUCAUAUGAGAAACUUCCUAGCAUCUUUUGUCUAUCAUUAGGGCUUGAUAUAAUCCAAUUAUAUCCUGAAAUCUAUCAUUAUAGAUUUCCAUCCUAUGUUUCUAGACUAUGUCUCCUAUAUACAUUCUAUCAUUAUAGAAUGUUUAAAGUCAUAACUUUAACGAAGAAGUAUUCUUUUCAUUUCCAAAAUUAAUAUAUCAUA
Molecule: long non-coding RNA, 2106 nt
Filed under: Malus domestica (apple)
Lineage: Eukaryota; Viridiplantae; Streptophyta; Magnoliopsida; Rosales; Rosaceae
Description: long non-coding RNA (MDOM_LNC013331)
Source: RNAcentral